Molecule: small RNA, 539 nt
Filed under: Pan troglodytes (chimpanzee)
Lineage: Eukaryota; Metazoa; Chordata; Mammalia; Primates; Hominidae
Description: processed transcript
Source: RNAcentral
AAUUAGGGAUGUGGACUUUGGAGCCCGUACACCUCCGUUUGCUCCUUAGUCCAUGAGCCCAUGCGACUUUGAGUGCUUCACCUCUCUGUGUUUUAACUUUUCAUCUCUAAAAGGGACAUUGGGCCGGGUGCAGUGGCUCACGCCUGUAAUCCCAGCACUUUGAGAGGCCGAGGCAGGUGGAUCACCUGAGGUCGGGAGUUCAAGACCAGCCUGGCCAACAUGGUGAAACGCUGUCUCUACUAAAAAUACAAAAAUUAGCUGGGCAUCCCCCCUGAUGAGAGCCCCCGCCGGGGCGGUCCUGCUGGGCCCUACCAGCAAUCUCAGCGGUUGGAGCUGUAUGCCCAGGCCACAGAAGCGCUGCUGAAGACCGGAGCUGCUUACCCCUGUUUCUGCUCACCCCAGCGGCUGGAGCUCCUGAAGAAGGAGGCCUUGCGGAACCACCAGACGCCCCGGUAUGACAAUCGGUGCAGGAACAUGAGCCAGGAGCAGGUGGCCCAGAAGCUGGCCAAGGACCCCAAGCCUGCAAUCCGCUUCCGCCU